AGCGGCCCGGCCCCGGCUCGGCUCCGCGGGCAGCUGCAGAAAUUCCGGGGCGGCGGCCGGCUGCACCAGAUCUGAGGGAAAGCGGCCCACGCGCCCGUGGACAGUCCCGAACCGCCAGCCUAGAGACAGGCCCCACCUGGCCAGGAAGCCACGGGCCCGACUUUGCAGCAAAAUGAUCUUCCGACGCAGAGAGUAGAAACGCCUCUGGGUGAAGAAGCCACGCAGGCAGCGCUGCAGCGUGAGGGCAGCUCGGUUCAGCACACGUUCCCGCAUACUCUCCAGCAGCUGGUGUAGGUGCUCCUUGAGGAAGAGCUGGGGAUGGAAGGCGGCAUGAGUGCCUCUCUUGAGGAACCCAUGAAGACACAGCAGCCAGGACUGCUUUAGGUGUAUGGCUGGGAGCAGCAGACUCAACACUGAAACUAUGAAAAAAAGGAAGUACCUGUCAAUAAACACCUGGAAGGGUAGUCGCACUGGGAAACCUUCCUUUCGGAUCCGCACGGUCUCCAGUACCCCUGAAUAACGUAACUGUGCCAUCAUGACAUCUGGUUCAAAGAGACCUGGCUCCUAGAAGGGGGCCCAGAGAGGACAUCUACACAUUACCCACUAGAUCCAGUAGUGACUGCUGGAACUUGGCAGCCACAGUGUGAGCCUUGUAGAGUCGAGUAAUGGAGCUGCUCUUGCCCAGGCGCUGAGGGGCCUGUGCAGCAUGGCUGGAGAAGAGAUGUGCCACCACCUGG
Long non-coding RNA from Nannospalax galili (Upper Galilee mountains blind mole rat), 737 nucleotides. RefSeq lists it as uncharacterized. The transcript is spliced from 4 exons. The record is from RefSeq and is a predicted model, not a curated record. NCBI's taxonomy places the organism in Eukaryota, Metazoa, Chordata, Mammalia, Rodentia, Spalacidae.